GACGAACGCUGGCGGCGUGCUUAACACAUGCAAGUCGAACGAUGAACCCGGAGCUUGCUCCGGUGGAUUAGUGGCGAACGGGUGAGUAACACGUGAGUAACCUGACAUUGACUCUGGGAUAACUGCGGGAAACUGUAGCUAAUACCGGAUACGACCCUCGGCGGCAUCGCCAGGGGGUGGAAAGAAUGUCGGUGAAGGAGGGACUCGCGGCCUAUCAGCUAGUUGGUGAGGUAACGGCUCACCAAGGCGAGGACGGGUAGCCGGCCUGAGAGGGUGACCGGGCAAACGGGGAAAGAGACACGGCACAGAGUCGUAAGGGAGGCAGCAGUAGGGAAGAUUGCACAAUGGGGGCAAGCCUGAUGCAGCAACGACGCGUGAGGGAUGACGGCUUUCGGGUUGUAAACCUCUUUUAGUAGGGAAGAAGCGAAAGUGACGGUACCUGCAGAAAAAGCACCGGCUAACUACGUGCCAGCAGCCGCAGUAA
This 484-nucleotide ribosomal RNA is filed under the name uncultured bacterium. Its description in RNAcentral is "partial 16S ribosomal RNA". It matches the Rfam family "Bacterial small subunit ribosomal RNA", at positions 28 to 523 of the family's 1533-position model. The record is from RNAcentral.